CGGAAGGGGCGAGCGUUACUCGUACGUAUUGGGCGUAAGGCGUCCGUAGGUGGUGCAAACUUUUUUCUUGAAGUAAAGAUAAUUUCGGUCUUUAUUAAGUACACCCGAGUUUCUUCGAAGUUUAAGGUACCCUUGAUGGAGGGGUGGAAUCCAAAAAGAUCAAUGGGGGACCUCCCACGGCGAAGGCAUUAUCACUAGAAGAUUCUAACACUGAGGGACUAAAGCGUGGGGAGCAAACAGGAUU
RNAcentral lists this ribosomal RNA (244 nucleotides) under uncultured bacterium. RNAcentral describes it as "partial 16S ribosomal RNA". It matches the Rfam family "Bacterial small subunit ribosomal RNA", at positions 526 to 779 of the family's 1533-position model. The record is from RNAcentral.